Molecule: ribosomal RNA, 460 nt
Filed under: Klebsiella pneumoniae
Lineage: Bacteria; Pseudomonadati; Pseudomonadota; Gammaproteobacteria; Enterobacterales; Enterobacteriaceae
Description: partial 23S ribosomal RNA
Rfam family: Bacterial large subunit ribosomal RNA
Source: RNAcentral
UGGUGGGUAGUUUGACUGGGGCGGUCUCCUCCCAAAGCGUAACGGAGGAGCACGAAGGUUAGCUAAUCCUGGUCGGACAUCAGGAGGUUAGUGCAAUGGCAUAAGCUAGCUUGACUGCGAGCGUGACGGCGCGAGCAGGUGCGAAAGCAGGUCAUAGUGAUCCGGUGGUUCUGAAUGGAAGGGCCAUCGCUCAACGGAUAAAAGGUACUCCGGGGAUAACAGGCUGAUACCGCCCAAGAGUUCAUAUCGACGGCGGUGUUUGGCACCUCGAUGUCGGCUCAUCACAUCCUGGGGCUGAAGUAGGUCCCAAGGGUAUGGCUGUUCGCCAUUUAAAGUGGUACGCGAGCUGGGUUUAGAACGUCGUGAGACAGUUCGGUCCCUAUCUGCCGUGGGCGCUGGAGAAUUGAGGGGGGCUGCUCCUAGUACGAGAGGACCGGAGUGGACGCAUCACUGGUGUUCG